CUAUGGUAGGUCCAGAUAGGAUAACGAGAAAAGGGGAGAUUUAUAAAUUACGUCACCCGAAUUUCAAGAUUUUUUGACCCCUUCCCCUCCUUGUCAUAUUUGGCAAGCAUUUAUGACUCCUCUCCCCCUUGUCACAACAUGUCACAUUUAGUUAACCCUUCCUCCCCCCUAAAUGUAUGACGUAAUGGAUGACCCCAAAGCAGAUAGGGUAGGAAAUCGGAAUACUUGAUAACUACAAUACUUAAGUAACAGAAUUGUACUAAAUAAUUAAAUAUACGCUAUGUAGGCAAAAAGAGAUAAGUAGGCUGGAAUUCCGUGGCCCACCACGGGAAUAAAUAUGCCAAAUAAACAACAUAUUCAUAGAUAUAGCUAAAACAAGGUCGCGGGUGGUGGGGCGGAAGGAACAGAUGAGGCCCUGUUUCACCCAAGAUCGGCGACACGAUAUGUGCCCUUGCCUAUUAGAAUAUUGUUUAUAAAACUCUACGCUAUUAAAUAUCGUCUAACUGAUGAUUGUGCUUCAUUUUCGUAUAUACCGUACCGUAAAUCUACUUGACUAGAAUUCAAUGAUUAGUAUAAUAGUCCACAAGUUCAAUAAUUCAUUAUCAAAACAUUUUUUUUGUUUCGUCUUGGUUAAAUACAAAUAUUUUUCCUCUGCAUAUAACCACUAGAUAGUCAAGUGUUGGGCUAUGUAACUGGGUAUUUAUGAUGGAUUUAAAUAAUUCACUUAAACGUGUUAAAUAAUUUACUUAAAUUUUCGGUAAAGUUUUGAAGCAGAAGUGAACAACCGGCACUGAAAAUGGCAUUUGCAUUCAAUAAGAAACAGACGAUACUAGAUUUGGAUGAAAAAUAUUGGAGGGUGAUUCUGGAUUAUAUGCCAGUCCAAGACUUAAUACGCACGGAACGGACCAGCAAGGCUUGGCAGAGGAAGAUACUCUCAUACUUGUCAAGUGCCCGAAUCACUAUAGGUCCCGAUAAACCAGAAAAUCCGAAUGAUCGUCACAACUUUGUCUAUCUAAGUGAAGAAGAAGAUUUUCCAUCGGUCAAGCUUUGGUCUCGUAAACUUGGCCAUGCAGUGUUUUCCUUCAAUAAAUACUCUGGAGGUGUAGACGACUGCAUGUCGCUACAUACCAUGUUUCCUAAUCUGGAGGAACUUGAGGCAAGUAUGAUAAGGCCCAAGUCCCAUCAUAGAGGCAUUUACCAUGUAGUAGGUACAUUAUUGUCGAGACUCGGAAGUAGCUACUUCCUGACUGAGGAUUCGUUUUAAACGGACCACUUUGGGAGUCCGUUUAAUAGAACCCGAAAUCCGAAGCCAACAAGGCACCAUUCAUUUAUUACGUAAGACGAUUUUUGCCAGUUUUUGACCCCAUCCCCUACAUAAGAAAAAAUAAGAAUAGGCUGACCCCGCAUCCCUGCUUAAUAUUUGUCACGUAAGAAUGAAAAGCAAUUUUUAUUUUUUGUUAAUAAUAAUUAAUAAAUUUUGGUUAAAACUUUAAGUUUUUUUUAUUAUAAAUUUUUACAAGAGAUUUUGAUCAGUGCAGGGACGUUUAUUUAAUUUAUUGGCACCCUGGCCCAGUGGGCCUGGGCCGCCCUAUAUUAUAAGCACAAAUACAUUUUAUAUCGGCGUCUUCUGGAAACGUGGGGCCUACGCUGCCCUUCGCAGCCUGCCUCCCCGAGCCAUGGCCCCCUUGGCCCUAGGGUAAAUACGCCCCUCAGAGCCUCAAAACCCACCUGAUAUAAGUGCAUUUGCCA
Molecule: long non-coding RNA, 1749 nt
Organism: Cydia pomonella (codling moth)
Lineage: Eukaryota; Metazoa; Arthropoda; Insecta; Lepidoptera; Tortricidae
Exons: 3
Source: RefSeq, a predicted model, not a curated record